AUUCGGUGGACGAGUCCCAAAUAGGACGAAACGCGCGUCCUGGAU
This 45-nucleotide non-coding RNA is filed under the name Schistosoma haematobium. Lineage: Eukaryota; Metazoa; Platyhelminthes; Trematoda; Strigeidida; Schistosomatidae. The record is from RNAcentral.